This is a non-coding RNA of Doryrhamphus excisus (bluestripe pipefish), 3988 nucleotides long. The record is from RefSeq and is a predicted model, not a curated record. NCBI's taxonomy places the organism in Eukaryota, Metazoa, Chordata, Actinopteri, Syngnathiformes, Syngnathidae.
CGCCGUGCCGUCAAUCCUAACGUUAUCGGCUGCUUUCUGGCGUUGGCGCCUCGUCGACAUCUUGCCUGCGUCCAACUGCAGCUAGCAACGUGCGCGUUCAGUUACGUCACGCCUCGUGUGUCUCCUGGUUUACUGCGCACCCUCGACCGCCGCCAUCUUGACGCCGACGGCUGCCGACGACCCCGCCGGACUUACGGACGGCCAACAUACCUGGUCUUCUCCGCGCCGCCUUGGAACCUUACGGAAGGGGUCCACUAUGUACCUGUAGUCUCCUCCUCCAAUGGCCAAAGCGGCGCCGGAUGGCGUCAUCAGCCAAUUCCCCUCUUCCUGCUCCUCAUCCUUCAUAUUGCGCCUCCACGGGGUCCUCCACCGGUCACCCUCCUGCGAAUCCGGGGCAACACCUCCCACCCUGCCCACCUCCCUGUCCUCCCCUUCCACAUUGACAUAGUGCAAGGAAUCCUUGUGGGCGCGGGAGGGGGACAAGCUGAGCCACAGCGCCUCCAACAUGCCGACCAGAUGCUGGAAAGUGGGCCGACAUUUGGGGACCGGACUCCAGCAGCUGUGCAUGAUGUCAUAGCUGAGGGUCACAUGACAACAUCCGAGUGCUUCUUCAGGCGUUCUCCUCGGAUCAAAUACUCGUAGAUCUCGGAGUUCUCCACUCCCGGAUACGGAGUCUGACCCCGGGUCAUGACCUCCCACAUGAAGCCCCUGAGAGACUGAGCCUAGAUUCCAGUCGGAUCAGAACGCAGCUUACGUUUCAGCCUGGUAAAGGAUUGUGGGAAGGUGAGUUUGUGAUUUGGAGUUAGCAUUACGCUAACGACUUCCCAAACAUGGACCUACUGAAGUGAAAGCGGUGAAACAUAAAUUGGAUCGGUUCUGGUCCUUGAGUGUCUCGAUCAAGAACACCUCAGUAGUACUCAAAAAGCCAGCUGGUCUCCAAAGGACACGGGUCAGCCAUCGUGGCUCACGGGUGGCCAUGAAGGACACCAGCCGAACAUCUGAGUUGUGGCUUAUAGUACCACUUGUAGUACUACUCUUACGGAUACUACUUGUUUCCAUCAUGGCAACCAGUGUCAAACUGGUAUUUCUCCUGGUCCUGCGACGCACCUAUGGAAUGUCUCCCAGUGCUUCUCUCCCAGCAUGAUGAACAUCUGGUCAGUGGUGAGAAGCUUGCGUCCGUCCUUCAUCCAAAUGAUGUCGGGUUCCAUGAGACCUUCCACGGCGCAGCCCAGGCGCACCGUGUUUCCUUGAGAUGCCGUCUGAUUGAUGGGAUGUUUGAUGAACGUCACACCUGACAGGAACGCCACAUGUUAUGUUAUGUUCUCUCUCACAGACACACACACACACACACAAGCCUGAAGAUGACAUCAUCACGCUUCCCGCGCAGCGAUGAUGUCAUCUUCUGCUGGCUUGAUGACGUCACUAGUGUCUCCAAACACGGUCUCGUGGAAAAAGUGGACACUUCCAACAGUAUGAAUGAAAAUCUAUGCAAUAUGAGGCAAGAGAUGCUAUGUUAUGCUGUGAUAAUUCGCUGUCCAUCAAGUCAACGCGAGACAAGAAGUUUGUGGAGGAAGUGCACGUGCAUCCAAAUAUUUAAAGACAACCGAGCGGACUCACCGCCGGCACACAUCCCGUCCGAAGUCAGCAGAACCAAGAGUAGAAGCUCCCCAAGCAUGUCUGCUGUUGUUUGCUCCUCCAGGCGGGUCAGUGCACGUCGUGUGCGACAAAGAGCACUUUGAAGGCAGCCUGCGCUCGCGGACACACGCACGCGCCAGCUUCCAUUCAAUUUGGGGUUUUCGUGCUACACAAAAAACAAACAAAAAAAAAAAAAACCCACAGCGACUUCGAAAUUCACCAAACUUCGAGACGAGCCCCCAGUGUUUUGCCGAGAUUGUGAAGAUGACGUCAAACGACGUGCUCAAACUCCAUACCGGAUAUGGCACCCCACGCCUUCAAAAUAAGAUCGCUAUUUAGUACUGCUUUAACAAAUUAUUGACAUUCAAAGCUAUUUCCAGCUGUGAACUAAAGACUUAAAUAAAUACAUAGUAAAAACUCAAAUGUAAUAUAUUACAUUUAAUAAACAAUAUCGAUUCUACGGUAUAAUUUCCCAAAUACACAUACACAUACAAAUAAACAAAGACAAGUAUGUGUCAAAUGUUAUGGCGUUCUUAUAAAGUUUUAUUGUCGACCUCAAAACAGGAGUAUUAGAUUCCAACACAGUUCAACUGGCACACUUGUCUCCUCUUCUCUCUCCCGUCCUGGUUCACCAAUCACUUUCACAACGAGGUGCGUUCACGGACAUCAGAAUGUAGAACAUCGACGUCAUAUCACCAACACACGUCGUUACGAUAGGGACAACCGCAAUUGUGCACAUUGAAAUUGUAGUUCCACAAAAUAUAUAUUGAUGCUGCUUUAUGCAACUUUAAUUUAAUACAUAAUUGGCUAAAUAAUUUGGCUAAAUGGACAUUACGUGAUAAAAAGUACAGAUUCAACUGAAAUUGAAGAACAGAAAAUAGUUAAUGGCAUUGAUAAAAUAUAUUUUUUGCAUGCAUUCCCAAGUUGCUAGUAGUUGUAUUCAACUAUGUAUAUGAAUAAUUUGACACACUAUAUGAUGGCAGUUAUGUUAUGUUUAUGUUACGAGCUGCAAGCAGUCAAGUUCAUGCAGCAGUUGUGUUUAUGAACAUUUUUGGUUUUGAAAUGUAUUAUUUUUCAAAGUUAAAAAAAAGAUAAAGGAAAACGUUUCAUUCACACUGCUGCUCGGGUUUUUAUUGACAUCUACAUGUAGGUCAUAUUGUACAGAAAAUUGAUUAUUACAAAUUGUGUAUAUAUGCACUAUAAAUAACAAUCCUUCAUUUCAUCAAAGUGCACUCACUGCACAUAAUUAAAUCCGCUCAGAGCACCUAAAUACAUUGUAAACUGUCGUGAUGCUAGCACCACCCAAAUGGCUUCCUUAACAUAGCAGACCUUCUGUUCCAUUGCACACGCUCCAUACGCUCUACCACAUGCAUUGUCAUGUCUUUGGUUGCAACCAUACGACCUCCAGGCAAUCCUUGUCCCGUCCGGUUGACGCGUCGGGGACGCGCAAUGAAUAAACACAACAUACGCUUGUCAGAUUAAUGCAAAUAACGGUGCAUGCCAUUGAAAUGAUUUGCUCCAAUUGAAUGAGUGUGCAUGGUGUGUUGCAUCCAGCAAUAUUAAUACAAUUGACUAAAUAUCGUGCGUUGGUUCAGUACUUACUCGGAGGUAGGGUUUUUAUUUCGCAAUUCAUUAGUGUCAUGACAAAGUAACCGGAAGCAGGACUAACUCAACAGCGGUGACGAAAGCUAAUAACAUUGAUGUGACUUAUUAAUCAUUAUGCAAAUGAGUAUGAGGGGAGGGGCUUACCUCCAUUCCCAACAUUUAACAUCACGUUCUUACAUCAUCUUCCACAGGAAGUGUCUAAUAAUAACUACCUGCUUCACUUCCAGUUUUUACUCACUUCCUGCUAACAAAUGCAUCAGACUAGCAAAUACAUCGUCAUGGCAACUUCUUGUGUUCCUCCAAAUGACAAAAGUCACUCGGAGCACCACUUCCUGUCGUAAAGCAUCUGGUCAUCGGUUCCGUGGGAAAAACAUUGGAAUGAUCUCAGCCGUCCUUCCACUACUUCCUGACUGUCUGUGCCCAGGAAUGCCCCGCCCAUUUGUGUCACAUGGCAGCAGUAUAAGAGGAGGAGGAGGAGGGGGCCGCUUUCAGGCAAACUUCUUCUUGGUGGCGGUGAAACGCUCCAUGUACUGAGGAGGGAAGACAUUACAGUCAUGUUGGCUUUCCUGCUGUCUGAUUGGCUCUGACCGGGUGGCAACCAACCAAUCCACUUCACGAUAUGCAGUAGUGUGAAAAAGGUGUUUGCCCCCUUCCUGAUUUCUUAUUUUUUUUUGUAUGUUUGUCAAACUUAAAUGUUGCAUUUCAUUAAAUUAAUUUAAACUAAAAUGUUAUGUGGAUAUGCUUACCC